UCAGCUAGCUCUAGCCCCACCAACUCUCACAUGGUCCCUCGCUGAAGCUAAGCAGGGCUGCGCCUGGUCAGUACCUGGAUGGGAGACCACAUGGGAAAGCUAGGUUGCUGUUAGUG
Molecule: ribosomal RNA, 116 nt
Filed under: Danio rerio (zebrafish)
Lineage: Eukaryota; Metazoa; Chordata; Actinopteri; Cypriniformes; Danionidae
Source: RNAcentral